RNAcentral lists this ribosomal RNA (480 nucleotides) under uncultured bacterium. RNAcentral's name for it is "partial 16S ribosomal RNA". It matches the Rfam family "Bacterial small subunit ribosomal RNA", at positions 28 to 507 of the family's 1533-position model. The record is from RNAcentral.
GAUGAACGCUAGCGGCAGGCCUAACACAUGCAAGUCGAGGGGGAAGUUACUUUCGGGUAACUGAGACCGGCGUACGGGUGCGUAACGCGUAUACAAUCUGCCUUUCACUGGGGGAUAGCCCGAAGAAAUUUGGAUUAAUACCCCAUAGUAUAGUAGUGUGGCAUCACACAACUAUUAAAGCUUAGGUGGUGAAAGAUGAGUAUGCGUUCUAUUAGCUAGUUGGAGAGGUAACGGCUCCCCAAGGCUAUGAUAGAUAGGGGUUCUGAGAGGGAUGUCCCCCACACUGGUACUGAGAUACGGACCAGACUCCUACGGGAGGCAGCAGUGAGGAAUAUUGGACAAUGGUCGGAAGACUGAUCCUGCCAUGCCGCGUGCAGGAUGAAGGUCUUAUGGAUUGUAAACUGCUUUUGUAAGGGAACAAUAAGGACUACGUGUAGUUUGAUGACGGUACCUUAUGAAUAAGCAUCGGCUAACUCCGUG